AGCAGCCGCGGUAAUUCCAGCUCCAAUAGCGUAUAUUAAAGUUGUUGCAGUUAAAAAGCUCGUAGUUGAAUUUCGGGACCAAUUUGUUGGUCGUGCCUCGGUACGUACUGGUAUUAUUGGUUUCUCCCUUCUGAAGAACCAUGAUGCCAUUAAUUUGGUGUCGUGGGGAAUCAGGACUGUUACUUUGAAAAAAUUAGAGUGUUUAAAGCAGGCAUACGCUUGAAUACAUUAGCAUGGAAUAAUGAAAUAGGACGUUUGAUUCUAUUUUGUUGGUUUCUAGGAUCGACGUAAUGAUUAAUAGGGAUAGUUGGGGGCAUUAGUAUUCAAUUGUCAGAGGUGAAAUUCUUGGAUUUAUUGAAGACUAACUACUGCGAAAGCAUUUGCCAAGGAUGUUUUCAUUAAUCAAGAACGAAAGUUAGGGGAUCGAAGACGAUCAGAUACCGUCGUAGUCUUAACCAUAAACUAUGCCGACUAGGGAUCGGAUGAUGUUAAUUUUUUAAUGUACUCAUUCGGCGCCUUA
This 520-nucleotide ribosomal RNA is filed under the name uncultured Glomus. RNAcentral's name for it is "SSU rRNA". It matches the Rfam family "Eukaryotic small subunit ribosomal RNA", at positions 569 to 1090 of the family's 1831-position model. Lineage: Eukaryota; Fungi; Glomeromycota; Glomeromycetes; Glomerales; Glomeraceae. The record is from RNAcentral.